This is a long non-coding RNA of Carassius gibelio (silver crucian carp), 286 nucleotides long. RefSeq lists it as uncharacterized. The record is from RefSeq and is a predicted model, not a curated record. The transcript has 3 exons. Lineage: Eukaryota; Metazoa; Chordata; Actinopteri; Cypriniformes; Cyprinidae.
GGGAAACCCUUCCGUUCCUCAAAAAAAAAAGGAGAAACAGAGCAGCCACAAAUCAAGUGGUCACAAAAAGCGACGUCACAAACGUCAAAAAUCACCAACACAUGCAUCAGCUUCCGUGAACCCAGUGAGUGAGGAAGUCCAGGUAGAAGGACUGCAAGUCUUGAAAAUCAUCUUCAAGAGUUAAGGGGUACUCUUGCCUCUCUUGAAGUUCCAGUGGCAACAGCAGACACAACGUGGACACAAUGUCAGUUACUCGCUGGAGUAAGAGCAAAGGAAGCAAGGCCAG